CAGCAGUGGGGAAUAUUGCACAAUGGGCGCAAGCCUGAUGCAGCCAUGCCGCGUGUGUGAAGAAGGCCUUCGGGUUGUAAAGCACUUUCAGCAGUGAGGAAGGCGGGUACGUUAAUAGCGUAUUCGUUUGACGUUAGCUGCAGAAGAAGCACCGGCUAACUCCGUGCCAGCAGCCGCGGUAAUACGGAGGGUGCGAGCGUUAAUCGGAAUUACUGGGCGUAAAGCGCAUGCAGGUGGUUUGUUAAGUCAGAUGUGAAAGCCCGGGGCUCAACCUCGGAACAGCAUUUGAAACUGGCAGACUAGAGUACUGUAGAGGGGGGUAGAAUUUCAGGUGUAGCGGUGAAAUGCGUAGAGAUCUGAAGGAAUACCGGUGGCGAAGGCGGCCCCCUGGACAGAUACUGACACUCAGAUGCGAAAGCGUGGGGAGCAAACAGGAUU
RNAcentral lists this ribosomal RNA (438 nucleotides) under Vibrio sp. C41. RNAcentral describes it as "bacterial SSU rRNA". It matches the Rfam family "Bacterial small subunit ribosomal RNA", at positions 349 to 779 of the family's 1533-position model. The record is from RNAcentral. Lineage: Bacteria; Pseudomonadati; Pseudomonadota; Gammaproteobacteria; Vibrionales; Vibrionaceae.